AAAUGGCAAUUCCCUCAUUGUAUUGGUGCAAUUGAUGGAAAACACGUCAUUAUUCAAUGUCCUGACAACGCAGGAUCAGAAUAUUAUAAUUAUAAAGACAGUCACAGCAUUAUUUUACUCGCAAUAAGUGAUGCAAAUUACAUCAUACGCUGUGUAGACAUUGAUGCUCCUGGAAGACAGGGUGAUGCAGGCGUUUUUAA
Nylanderia fulva is the source of this 200-nucleotide non-coding RNA. NCBI's taxonomy places the organism in Eukaryota, Metazoa, Arthropoda, Insecta, Hymenoptera, Formicidae. The record is from RefSeq and is a predicted model, not a curated record.